RNAcentral lists this ribosomal RNA (610 nucleotides) under uncultured Acidobacteriota bacterium. RNAcentral's name for it is "bacterial SSU rRNA". It matches the Rfam family "Bacterial small subunit ribosomal RNA", at positions 8 to 600 of the family's 1533-position model. The record is from RNAcentral. Lineage: Bacteria; Pseudomonadati; Acidobacteriota.
AGAGUUUGAUCCUGGCUCAGAAUCACGCUGGCGGCGAGCCAAAAACAUGCAUGUCGAACGCGGUUACCUCGCAAGGCCUAUCUGAGUGGCAAACGGGUGAGUAACACGUGGGUGACCUACCUUCGAGUGGGGGAUAACGUCCCGAAAGGGACGCUAAUACCGCAUAACAUCCUGUUCUUGAACGGAUGGAGAUCAAAGCCGGGGAUCGCAAGACCUGGCGCUUGAUGAGGGGCCCGCGUCUGAUUAGCUAGUUGGUGAGGUAAUGGCCCACCAAGGCGACGAUCAGUAUCCGGCCUGAGAGGGCGGACGGACACACUGGGACUGAGACACGGCCCAGACUCCUACGGGAGGCAGCAGUGGGGAAUUGUUCACAAUGGGCGCAAGCCUGAUGACGCAACGCCGCGUGGAGGAUGAAGGUCUUCGGAUUGUAAACUCCUGUUGCUCGGGACGAAAAGCCUCGACCUAACACGUCGAGGUCUGACGGUACCGAGUGAGGAAGCCCCGGCUAACUCUGUGCCAGCAGCCGCGGUAAUACAGAGGGGGCAAGCGUUGUUCGGAAUUACUGGGCGUAAAGGGCGCGUAUGCGGGCCCGCUAAGUCGAACGUGAAAU